Molecule: ribosomal RNA, 806 nt
Filed under: Flavobacteriaceae bacterium
Lineage: Bacteria; Pseudomonadati; Bacteroidota; Flavobacteriia; Flavobacteriales; Flavobacteriaceae
Description: bacterial SSU rRNA
Rfam family: Bacterial small subunit ribosomal RNA
Source: RNAcentral
CUUUGAGACCGGCGCACGGGUGCGUAACGCGUAUGCAAUCUGCCUUUCACAGAGGGAUAGCCCAGAGAAAUUUGGAUUAAUACCUCAUAGCAUAAUCAAGCCGCAUGGUUUGAUUAUUAAAGUCACAACGGUGAAAGAUGAGCAUGCGUCCCAUUAGCUAGUUGGUAAGGUAACGGCUUACCAAGGCGACGAUGGGUAGGGGUCCUGAGAGGGAGAUCCCCCACACUGGUACUGAGACACGGACCAGACUCCUACGGGAGGCAGCAGUGAGGAAUAUUGGUCAAUGGACGCAAGUCUGAACCAGCCAUGCCGCGUGCAGGAUGACGGUCCUAUGGAUUGUAAACUGCUUUUGCACAGGAAGAAACACUCCGACGUGUCGGAGCUUGACGGUACUGUGAGAAUAAGGAUCGGCUAACUCCGUGCCAGCAGCCGCGGUAAUACGGAGGAUCCAAGCGUUAUCCGGAAUCAUUGGGUUUAAAGGGUCCGUAGGCGGUCUUGUAAGUCAGUGGUGAAAGCCCAUCGCUCAACGGUGGAACGGCCAUUGAUACUGCAGGACUUGAAUUAUUGGGAAGUAACUAGAAUAUGUAGUGUAGCGGUGAAAUGCUUAGAGAUUACAUGGAAUACCAAUUGCGAAGGCAGGUUACUACCAAUUUAUUGACGCUGAUGGACGAAAGCGUGGGUAGCGAACAGGAUUAGAUACCCUGGUAGUCCACGCCGUAAACGAUGGAUACUAGCUGUUGGGAGCAAUCUCAGUGGCUAAGCGAAAGUGAUAAGUAUCCCACCUGGGGAGUACGAACGCAAGUUUG